AACGAACGCUGGCGGCAUGCCUAACACAUGCAAGUCGAACGAGACCUUCGGGUCUAGUGGCGCACGGGUGCGUAACGCGUGGGAACCUGCCCUUAGGUUCGGAAUAACUCCCCGAAAGGGGUGCUAAUACCGGAUAAUGUCUUCGGACCAAAGAUUUAUCGCCUUUGGAUGGGCCCGCGUUGGAUUAGCUAGUUGGUAGGGUAAAAGCCUACCAAGGCGACGAUCCAUAGCUGGUCUGAGAGGAUGAUCAGCCACACUGGGACUGAGACACGGCCCAGACUCCUACGGGAGGAAGCAGUGGGGAAUAUUGGACAAUGGGCGAAAGCCUGAUCCAGCAAUGCCGCGUGAGGGAUGAAGGCCUUAGGGUUGUAAAGCUCUUUUACCCGGGAUGAUAAUGACAGUACCGGGAGAAUAAGCGCCGGCUAACUCCGUG
RNAcentral lists this ribosomal RNA (433 nucleotides) under uncultured bacterium. Its description in RNAcentral is "partial 16S ribosomal RNA". It matches the Rfam family "Bacterial small subunit ribosomal RNA", at positions 29 to 507 of the family's 1533-position model. The record is from RNAcentral.